UACGGAAGGCAGCAGUGGGGAAUAUUGCACAAUGGGCGAAAGCCUGAUGCAGCUAUGCCGCGUGUAUGAAGAAGGCCUUAGGGUUGUAAAGUACUUUCAUCGGGGAGGAAAAAACAAAACUAAUAAUUUUAUUUCUUGACGUUACCCGAAAAAGAAGCACCGGCUAACUCCGUGCCAGCAGCCGCGGUAAUACGGAGGGUGCUAGCGUUAAUCAGAAUUACUGGGCGUAAAGAGCACGUAGGUGGUUUUUUUAAGUCAGAUGUGAAAUCCCUGGGCUUAACCUGGAACUGCAUUUUGAAACUGAAAUACUAGAGUAUCGUAGAGGGAGGUAGAAUUCUAGGUGUAGCGGUGAAAUGCGUAGAUAUCUGGAGGAAUACCUGUGGCGAAAGCGGCCCCUGGGACAAAGACUGACGCUCAUGUGCGAAAGCGUGGGGAGCAAACAGGGAUUAGAUACC
This 455-nucleotide ribosomal RNA is filed under the name uncultured bacterium. RNAcentral's name for it is "bacterial SSU rRNA". It matches the Rfam family "Bacterial small subunit ribosomal RNA", at positions 340 to 786 of the family's 1533-position model. The record is from RNAcentral.